GAUGAACGCUGGCGGCGUGCCUAAUACAUGCAAGUCGAGCGAACAGAUGAGGAGCUUGCUCCUCUGACGUUAGCGGCGGACGGGUGAGUAACACGUGGAUAACCUACCUAUAAGACUGGGAUAACUUCGGGAAACCGGAGCUAAUACCGGAUAAUAUAUUGAACCGCAUGGUUCAAUAGUGAAAGACGGUUUUGCUGUCACUUAUAGAUGGAUCCGCGCCGCAUUAGCUAGUUGGUAAGGUAACGGCUUACCAAGGCAACGAUGCGUGGCCGACCUGAGAGGGUGAUCGGCCACACUGGAACUGAGAAACGGUCCAGACUCCUACGGGAGGCAGCAGUAGGGAAUCUUCCGCAAUGGGCGAAAGCCUGACGGAGCAACGCCGCGUGAGUGAUGAAGGUCUUCGGAUCGUAAAACUCUGUUAUUAGGGAAGAACAAAUGUGUAAGUAACUAUGCACGUCUUGACGGUACCUAAUCAGAAAGCCACGGCUAACUACGUG
This 497-nucleotide ribosomal RNA is filed under the name uncultured bacterium. RNAcentral's name for it is "partial 16S ribosomal RNA". It matches the Rfam family "Bacterial small subunit ribosomal RNA", at positions 28 to 507 of the family's 1533-position model. The record is from RNAcentral.